UCAAAUGCUCAUCCUUGCUUAAAUUAAAUGUUUUCAGUUAUGUAUGAGCAACCUGAAGGCUCAGGCACGAACAAGGGGAAAGGAAAGUUGUUCGAAUGAGUUUAUAUUAUGAGUUAAUGGUUAUAGUUAGUAAGACAAUGGAAUCUAUUGUCAGAUAUUGUAAGGAAUGUAUUUGAAGGUCACGUACCUGGGGAAAGUAAACUUUGAUGUAUGUAAAUUAAGUUCGAAUUAUAUUAUUAUUUAGUAUUAUUCAGCUUAAAGAAAUGGUAUCGUGGAGAACCGAGUUCGGGU
Molecule: long non-coding RNA, 291 nt
Filed under: Panax ginseng (ginseng)
Lineage: Eukaryota; Viridiplantae; Streptophyta; Magnoliopsida; Apiales; Araliaceae
Description: long non-coding RNA (PGIN_LNC011485)
Source: RNAcentral